AGUGAACGCUGGCGGUAGGCCUAACACAUGCAAGUCGAACGGCAGCACAGUAAGAGCUUGCUCUUACGGGUGGCGAGUGGCGGACGGGUGAGGAAUACAUCGGAAUCUACUUUUUCGUGGGGGAUAACGUAGGGAAACUUACGCUAAUACCGCAUACGACCUACGGGUGAAAGCAGGGGAUCUUCGGACCUUGCGCUAUUGAAUGAGCCGAUGUCGGAUUAGCUAGUUGGCGGGGUAAAGGCCCACCAAGGCGACGAUCCGUAGCUGGUCUGAGAGGAUGAUCCGCCACACUGGAACUGAGACACGGUCCAGACUCCUACGGGAGGCAGCAGUGGGGAAUAUUGGACAAUGGGCGAAAGCCUGAUCCAGCCAUACCGCGUGGGUGAAGAAGGCCUUCGGGUUGUAAAGCCCUUUUGUUGGGAAAGAAAAGCAGCAGGUUAAUCCCCCGCUGUUCUGACGGUACCCAAAGAAUAAGCACCGGCUAACUUCGUG
This 492-nucleotide ribosomal RNA is filed under the name uncultured bacterium. RNAcentral's name for it is "partial 16S ribosomal RNA". It matches the Rfam family "Bacterial small subunit ribosomal RNA", at positions 29 to 507 of the family's 1533-position model. The record is from RNAcentral.